AGAGUUUGAUCCUGGCUCAGGAUGAACGCUGGCGGUAUGCCUAGCACAUGCAAGUCGAACGAUGUCUUCGGACAUAGUGGCGGACGGGUGAGUAACGCGUGAGAAUCUGCCUCUAGGAUGGGGAUAACGGUUGGAAACGACCGCUAACACCCAAUAUGCCGUAAGGUGAAAAAUUUAUUGCCUGGAGAGGAGCUCGCGUCUGAUUAGCUAGUUGGUGGGGUAAGAGCUCACCAAGGCUUCGAUCAGUAGCUGGUCUGAGAGGAUGAGCAGCCACACUGGGACUGAGACACGGCCCAGACUCCUACGGGAGGCAGCAGUGGGGAAUUUUCCGCAAUGGGCGAAAGCCUGACGGAGCAAUACCGCGUGAGGGAGGAAUGCCUUUGGGUUGUAAACCUCUUUUCCCAGGGAAGAAGAUCUGACGGUACCUGAGGAAUAAGUAUCGGCUAACUCCGUGCCAGCAGCCGCGGUAAUACGGAGGAUGCAAGCGUUAUCCGGAAUCAUUGGGCGUAAAGCGUCCGCAGGUGGUUUCCAAAGUCUGCUGUUAAAGACUGGAGCUCAACUCCGGAACGGCGGUGGAAACUUGGAAACUAGAGUUCGGUAGGGGUAGCAGGAAUUCCCAGUGUAGCGGUGAAAUGCGUAGAUAUUGGGAAGAACAUCGGUGGCGAAGGCGUGCUACUGGACCGUAACUGACACUCAGGGACGAAAGCUAGGGGAGCGAAAGGGAUUAGAUACCCCUGUAGUCCUAGCUGUAAACGAUGGAAACUAGGUGUGGCUUGUAUCGACCCGAGCCGUGCCGUA
Molecule: ribosomal RNA, 798 nt
Filed under: uncultured marine microorganism
Description: bacterial SSU rRNA
Rfam family: Bacterial small subunit ribosomal RNA
Source: RNAcentral